This 298-nucleotide signal recognition particle RNA is filed under the name Sus scrofa (pig). Its description in RNAcentral is "Metazoan signal recognition particle RNA (ENSSSCG00065049683.1)". It matches the Rfam family "Metazoan signal recognition particle RNA". From Rfam's summary of the family: The signal recognition particle (SRP) is a universally conserved ribonucleoprotein. It is involved in the co-translational targeting of proteins to membranes. The record is from RNAcentral. Lineage: Eukaryota; Metazoa; Chordata; Mammalia; Artiodactyla; Suidae.
GCCGGGCACGGUGGCGCGCGCCUGUAAUCCCAGUUUCUCGGGAGGCUGAGGCCGGUGGAUCGUGGAUUCCCGGGGGUUCGGGACUGCAGCUCUGCGUAGAGCGGGCGUCCGCACUGAGCCUGGCAUCAACAUGGGGCUCCCGGGGGAGCCCGGGGGGACCAGGUUGUCUAAGGAGGGGGGGACCCGGCCCAGGCCGGACACGGAGCAGGUCAAACUCCCCGUGCUGGGCGGCGGUGGGACCGCGCCUGCGAGCAGUGUCUGUAGUUCCGCCCGGACAUCCGACGAGACCCGGUCUCUU